GACGAACGCUGGCGGCGUGCUUAACACAUGCAAGUCGAACGCUGAAGCUCAGCUUUUGUUGGGUGGAUGAGUGGCGAACGGGUGAGUAACACGUGAGUAACCUGCCCCCUUCUUUGGGAUAACGCCCGGAAACGGGUGCUAAUACUGGAUAUUCACUGGUCUUCGCAUGGGGGUUGGUGGAAAGGGUUUUUCUGGUGGGGGAUGGGCUCGCGGCCUAUCAGCUUGUUGGUGGGGUGAUGGCCUACCAAGGCUUUGACGGGUAGCCGGCCUGAGAGGGUGACCGGUCACAUUGGGACUGAGAUACGGCCCAGACUCCUACGGGAGGCAGCAGUGGGGAAUAUUGCACAAUGGGCGCAAGCCUGGUGCAGCGACGCCGCGUGAGGGAUGGAGGCCUUCGGGUUGUGAACCUCUUUCGCUCAUGGUCAAGCCGCAACAAUGGUUGUGGUGAGGGUAGUGGGUAAAGAAGCGCCGGCUAACUACGUG
RNAcentral lists this ribosomal RNA (483 nucleotides) under uncultured bacterium. Its description in RNAcentral is "partial 16S ribosomal RNA". It matches the Rfam family "Bacterial small subunit ribosomal RNA", at positions 28 to 507 of the family's 1533-position model. The record is from RNAcentral.